ACCGUGAAAAAUGUAGUCAGUCUGAAUCUCGUAGACACGGAAAGCGCAAGACUGGCUGAGACUUUGCUUUGCUUGUGUCUGUUUGUGUGGCAUCUAUUUUUAAAAAUGCAGAGUGCUGGUCCAGGAAUAUAUUUCCCGUUCUACACAGUAUCUAUAAGUUGAUUCCAUGGCCUGCUCACAAUCGUUUGCAUGGGGGAGGCACAAUUAUGCUGUCAUUUGUCAUCACUCGUCAACAAGUGUUUACGUUAACCACAAAGCAUCAUAGGACAUUUGCGGAGAUGGUGAAUGGCGUCGAAGAAGUUUCCCUCGAGUCCCUCCUCUGUCGUCGACUCGUCAUGUUUACAUUUCGCGUGUGAGCGCGUGAACGUCAUCACCGAGGACGUCCUUCUUCCAUUUCGCCAGAAUAUCACAUGGAUGUAAUUUUUGAAACAAAUAGCAAUAGACAAAUAAUAAAGAUGGAUAAUUCAA
Long non-coding RNA from Daphnia pulex (common water flea), 468 nucleotides. RefSeq lists it as uncharacterized. The transcript has 2 exons. The record is from RefSeq and is a predicted model, not a curated record. NCBI's taxonomy places the organism in Eukaryota, Metazoa, Arthropoda, Branchiopoda, Diplostraca, Daphniidae.